UACGAAGGGGGCUAGCGUUGCUCGGAAUCACUGGGCGUAAAGGGUGCGUAGGCGGGUCUUUAAGUCAGGGGUGAAAUCCUGGAGCUCAACUCCAGAACUGCCUUUGAUACUGAAGAUCUUGAGUCCGGGAGAGGUGAGUGGAACUGCGAGUGUAGAGGUGAAAUUCGUAGAUAUUCGCAAGAACACCAGUGGCGAAGGCGGCUCACUGGCCCGAUACUGACGCUGAGGCACGAAAGCGUGGGGAGCGAACAGG
This 253-nucleotide ribosomal RNA is filed under the name uncultured bacterium. RNAcentral describes it as "partial 16S ribosomal RNA". It matches the Rfam family "Bacterial small subunit ribosomal RNA", at positions 524 to 776 of the family's 1533-position model. The record is from RNAcentral.